UACGGAGGGUGCAAGCGUUAUCCGGAUUCACUGGGUUUAAGGGGUGCGUAGGUGGGCUGGUAAGUCAGUGGUGAAAUCUCCAGGCUUAACUUGGAAACUGCCAUUGAUACUAUCAGUCUUGAAUACCGUGGAGGUCAGCGGAAUAUGUCAUGUAGCGGUGAAAUGCUUAGAUAUGACAUAGAACACCAAUUGCGAAGGCAGCUGGCUACACGAAUAUUGACACUGAUGCACGAAAGCGUGGGGAUCAAACAGG
This 253-nucleotide ribosomal RNA is filed under the name uncultured bacterium. Its description in RNAcentral is "partial 16S ribosomal RNA". It matches the Rfam family "Bacterial small subunit ribosomal RNA", at positions 524 to 776 of the family's 1533-position model. The record is from RNAcentral.